GUCAAUCACCUUCUCUGUUAU
Molecule: non-coding RNA, 21 nt
Organism: Caenorhabditis elegans
Lineage: Eukaryota; Metazoa; Nematoda; Chromadorea; Rhabditida; Rhabditidae
Source: Ensembl